This is an RNA transcript of Girardinichthys multiradiatus, 645 nucleotides long. It is a transcript of the gene named protein EFR3 homolog B-like, with no coding region annotated. The record is from RefSeq and is a predicted model, not a curated record. The transcript has 3 exons. Lineage: Eukaryota; Metazoa; Chordata; Actinopteri; Cyprinodontiformes; Goodeidae.
CUUUAACACACGUUAGAACCUAAAGUCAAAGUUUUUACAGAUAUCAGUUUAGAAGAACUUUUUAUUGAGUGUUAAUGUUAAACAUUCCUGACACAAAACAUCACCAGAGUCAAAGUCUGCCCUGGGAUUUGUAGUUCUCAGACUUUGGUUUGGUUUCAGAUGAAGAUCGUCUGUCCAGGAAGAUAAGUAUCUCAGACACCGUCUCUCUCCAGACAGCCAUAGACCAUGAGUCCAGUUCUGAUCCUCAGGUUUGGUUCUGUGUGUCUAAGUUUAACCGUUCAUCUCCACAUUUACUGAUGUUUCACUUUGUGCUCUGCAGAAACCUCAGACUGAUCAUCUUUGAGACGCUGGAGAACACCAUUGAGGAUAGAGGACCUGUGGAGGAGGAGGAAAGGAGGAAGAGGAUGCAGGUGGUGGAGAGGUUUCAGACGGCUCCUUCUGAGGAAAUAGCAGCUCUCUGUGGAUCCAGGCUGAGACACUUACUGAAACCUCAUUGCUUCAGUCCAAACUAGAUCAGGUCUUUGAUCUGAUUGUUCGUCCUCCUCCGUCUCCAUCUGGACAAUCGUCUCGUCGUUGGACGCCGAUCUAUGAGAUGAACUUUCCUGACCUCUGUGUGUAUUAGAGACUCAACAGGAUGACCUGGAU